GACAUCUUGGAUCUUCUCAGUGCUUCUCUGGGCACUUAAGCAUAGGUGGUGAGGCAGCUAUAGAGAGAUAUUUCAGCGUUGUGCCCCUGCAGGUCAACACUGAAGUCCUGACAUUGCCCUGGUAAGAUUCAGCCAGGAUGGCAGAGCUUUUUCACCACCCCCACCCCCAUCCUUCCCUUACAGGAAAGGCAUUUUGGCACUGUGUCCAUCCAGGAGUAGAACUUUGCUCCCGACAUUUCCCUGGAGAGUCAGCCAGGCCCAGAGAGAAGAGCUUUACCACAACUCCUAGGGGAGCAGCAGCUAAUAUGCCAUGCUCCUGCUACAGAUGAUCCCCUGCACCAUGCUCAAGGACCCUGGGCAAGGUUCCCCAGACCCCAGCUGCCUAAGAAGAGUCCUGUCUUGUGCGACCCUUGACUUUCCAGAACUAUUGUUUUUUUACUUUGAAUGCUCUGGGAGCGGGGAGAGGGACUGGAUCAGACGGGAGGAGGAAAAGUGCUGGAGUGCCAUUUGCAAGCCUCUCCAGGUGCACAGCUUGGGAGUCAUCCUGGCAGUGGGCCUGAAGCAGCUGAGAUAAUGGUCCCACAUGGGACCCCUGCCAUCACAUCAGUGCCUUUCUUGGACUGGGAGUGGGGGAGUGGAGUUGUUUAGCGGGGGGGAUUCUUCUCAUUCCUGCUGUACUGCAACCCUAGUGGUUCUUAUAGAUAGCUGCGUGUUAUCUUACAUCCCUGACCUCAGUGUCUUCUCUGCUACCCAGGCCCAUGAGGCUGCCAACCAAGGAAGGGCAACAAGCACUGGCAUUUGUACUUGUUUUUUACACUGUGUCUGCCGAGCUCAAUAAACUGUUUUAGUGUC
This is a long non-coding RNA of Alligator mississippiensis (American alligator), 852 nucleotides long. RefSeq lists it as uncharacterized. The record is from RefSeq and is a predicted model, not a curated record. The transcript is spliced from 3 exons. NCBI's taxonomy places the organism in Eukaryota, Metazoa, Chordata, Crocodylia, Alligatoridae.